Molecule: non-coding RNA, 141 nt
Organism: Vibrio panuliri
Lineage: Bacteria; Pseudomonadati; Pseudomonadota; Gammaproteobacteria; Vibrionales; Vibrionaceae
Source: Rfam
GCAAUCUCGGAAACAAUCUGGGGGAUACGCGAGCGUGCAUUCGGGCUGAGUGACCACUCGUAGGGUAGGUAUCGAUAAUCUCUUUAUCGAUAGACGGGAUACUAAUGUCGCGGCGGCGACAUGUGAAUGGGAAACCCAACA